Pelobates cultripes (western spadefoot toad) is the source of this 273-nucleotide non-coding RNA. The record is from the annotation of a GenBank genome assembly. Lineage: Eukaryota; Metazoa; Chordata; Amphibia; Anura; Pelobatidae.
GCAAUCACACUCCAGUGAGGGAAUUAAGGACGGCACAUUGUCCUUGUAACGGGGAUCCAGCAUUGUGGCCAUCCAGUAAUCAGCACAAGUUAGAAUGUGGGCAACUCGGCAGUCGUUGCGCAGGCACUUUGGUGACUCUAGAUAACCUUGGGCCGAUCGCACGUCCCCGUGAUGGCGACAAUGCAUUCGGAUGUCUGCCCUAUCAACUUUCCAUGGUACUUUCUGCGCCUACCAUGGUGACCACGGGUAAUGGGGAAUCAGGGUUCGAUUCCG